This is a long non-coding RNA of Macadamia integrifolia, 2051 nucleotides long. RefSeq lists it as uncharacterized. The transcript is spliced from 4 exons. The record is from RefSeq and is a predicted model, not a curated record. Lineage: Eukaryota; Viridiplantae; Streptophyta; Magnoliopsida; Proteales; Proteaceae.
AUGGAGCAACCUUAAUCAUGCACAAUUUUAUUUUAUUUUAUUUUUUAGUAAAGGCACUUUAUCUAGUUUCUCUGCCUAUAUAUUUUCAUCUAGAAUAUAACUGUGGUUUGCAUGAUGGUGCUUAAAGGAUUAUUCAUUCUUAAAACAUAAAGAUAACCGUGUAGAGCAUGGAUUUUUAUUUCAUUGAACAACUGUGAUCCAUUUACAAUGUAUCUAAAGAAUUUUGAGUUUAAUAGAUCAUGUUUAACACGGUAACACCUCCUUCUAGGGUUUGGUAACUGUAAAAUUAGGAUUUGAGUUUAAUAGAUCAUGUUUAACACGGUAACACCUCCUUCUAGGGUUUGGUAACUGUAAAAUUAGGAUCAAGGGAUUGUCCCCUGAGGUGAUUGGUAACUAUAAAAGGUUAAUUUAGAGGGAAAAAGGAAAUGACAGCAGGUUCAAUAUGAAGAUCCUUGUUUUGACUUGUUUGAUCUGUCGGUGAAGUCUUGCAAUGACAUAUUACAAGACUAUAGAGACACAAGUUUAUAUUUAAAUCUAAGAAAUUCACUUGGCCUGUAAUCUUCAUCAUCAUUUUCUCGUGCAAACAUCUUGGAAGUCCAUUUAUAGGGAUAAGCAGCUUAAAUCUUAUAGAAGGUCCAGAGAAAGGCAAAACACUCUAGUCCAGGACCAUGCUGGCAGGGAAGAUUUCUCAAGUGGUCCACACGGCAAGAGUGUCUCUGUGGAUCACACUGAUGCGAGUGCAUGUAUGAGUAUGGGGACUGGUUUAACAGUUGAAUUGGAUUUUAUUUUUGAAAAUUUCUGUUAUUUCCUUGAAGCCUAGUACUUAAUUUUUCUCUCAGAUUAAUGAUGUUUGUUCUGAUGCCAGCUUUAUGGGUUCUCUGCUGCUUCCAAAUACGAUUAAAGAUACAAUUGCUGCAUCUGUACUUAAUGAUCUACAGCCACUACCUAUUGGCUCUCACCAUUAGGGCUCUAGUUUUCAUCCCUUACCUUAAUGCGUCCAUCCAUAAAAAUUCUUUAAAAGGAACAAAACAUAUGUAUUUAUUGGAACUGUAUAUCAUGAAGAGUUCAGACUUCUUACUUUCAUAUCUGGGACAAACUUAGACUUGAUAACUUAGUCAGAUAGGACAUUUUACCCACACUGCUUCCUGUGUGGUUUCCAAACUCCACGUAGAAAGUGAAUGGACUUCCCAGUUGAACUGAUACUUGACAAACUCAAAGAACACAAGGCUGAAAUUUAGAACAAAGGCAUAUGUACACCAUGAUGAAGAAUAUUUCAGUUUGUAACAUGCAACAACCAUUAGGUUUUGGUGAUGGUAGUGGGUUAUCGGCUCAGCAGUUGAUUUGGUCAACAAGCAAGCCAUCCUAAUUCCACAGGGAAUUCUGUAGCCACAGGGAUGUGGCCUUUGAUGAAAUUGAGGAGCGUAGUAUCAGAGUUAUUCAUCAUAUUCUCUGCAUAAAAUUGAAAAGGUUGAUGAUGUAGAGCUAAUGAUGGACUGCAAGAUAGAGCCAACCUACAGAAAACAGUAAAUAUAGGUUUCUCUGUUUUACUAUUAUUAUCUGCUUGUAAUUUGUGUGCUAAGGUUUCCCUCUAAGUGCUUUUUGUGUCAAAAAAAGGGACUUCCAUAGCCAUAGAGCUGUUUCCUUUGAUGGAAUCAAGGAGGGUAGUAUCAGGGUUUCCUUGUCAUACUCCUGGCAUGGCGAUGAUAGAGCCUAUUGGUGGACUGCAAGAUAGAGCCAAUGAGCCAAUCCAUUGAAGACAGGAAAUGAGGUGGACGAAUCAAGGAAAUCCUAUCUGGAACUGUGCAUACAUUCAAAAGGGCAAAUAGAUAAUGCCGCCUCUUUUGUCCUGCUAUCAUUUCUUUCUAUAAUAACUGCUCCAUUUCUGAGUAUGUUAUUGCUGUAGAUUUUCUAAACCAACUCAAGCCAGAGAAGGUUUUCAGUUGUGGCAUCUUUUGUCAUUAUCUUCCUAAUCAUAUACUAUCUGACCAGGUGAUCAGUCUGAUUUACGUUUGCUAACUUUGCUGGACUUGAAGUAUUCAUCCUUUCAUACA